CUAACGGCUGAACCAGCAACUUGGAGGAAUGUAUAGCAUUAGCUAAUUAUAUUUAGUUAAAUAUAAUUUCGACUAUGUCGUAUAAAAUUCUAGGUAGAAUUAUGAUGAUGACAUUUUCUAUCUAUGUGUCUUGACCAAAUCUCGUGCCAGCAGUCGCGGUAAGGCGAGAAAGACUAGUGUUAUUCAUCUUUAAUAGGUUUAAAGGGUACCUAGACGGUAUUUCUAGCCUACUUGGUACAGAUAUACUAGAGUUUAAUAUGUAGGGGGGUAGUAUUUCUGGUGGAGAGAUGAAAUAUUGUAAUACCUUAAGGACUGGUAAAAGCGAAAGCAACCUUCCAUGUAUAAACUGACGUUGAGGGACGAAGGCUUGGAAAGCAAACAGGAUUUGGUACCCAAGUAGCCCUUGCAGAAAAUAAUGAAUGUCAUAGAUUAGAUUGGAUCAAUUUAGUCUAUAAAUGAAAGUGUAAGCAUUCCACCUCAAGAGUAAUGUGGCAACGCAGAAACUGAAAUCAUUAGACCGUUUCUGAAACCAGUAGUGAAGUAUGUUGUUUAAUUCGAUGAUCCACGAAAAACCUUACCACAAUUUGUAUAAUAUUUACAAGCGUUGCACGGCUGUCUUCAGUUAAUGUCGUGAGAUUACGGUUAGUUCCUUUUAAUUAACGUAAACCCUUACUUUUUUUAUUUUUUUAUAAAAAAGUAGUACACCGCUACAUUGGUGAAACUAAGAGGGAUUAAGACAAGUCAUCAU
Molecule: ribosomal RNA, 748 nt
Filed under: Peltula steppae
Lineage: Eukaryota; Fungi; Ascomycota; Lichinomycetes; Lichinales; Phylliscaceae
Description: SSU rRNA
Rfam family: Bacterial small subunit ribosomal RNA
Source: RNAcentral